RNAcentral lists this ribosomal RNA (852 nucleotides) under Triticum aestivum (bread wheat). RNAcentral's name for it is "partial small subunit ribosomal RNA". Lineage: Eukaryota; Viridiplantae; Streptophyta; Magnoliopsida; Poales; Poaceae. The record is from RNAcentral.
AUGAAUAUUGCCCUCCUUUCUUGCUGGCUCUCGCACAUCUCGCAUGGGCACAGUGGUCUUUGGUUAGACAUCAUCCGGAACAAGUACCUGCGUGGCCAACCGUUGGCCUUCUGUCAACGGUCCGGCGGAUCCCAGUUCUGGCAGUCAGUCAUUCAACUACUCCCUGUUCUCCGCAUUGGGACUUCCAUAUCGGUCGGAUCGGGUUCUGCGACUCUGUUCUGGUUUGACCGAUGGGCGGGAGACACCCCCUUCACGGCCCGUUUCCCUGACCUCUUCUCCAUCGCUAUCGUCCCCUCGAUCUCAGCUGAAAGGCCCCUUAUUGACUUAGGGCACCUCGCGUUCCGGAGGCCAUUUGGACCUCCGGAAGCCGCUUCCUGGCAGGAGCUGCUUGAUUGCGUCGCUCUCCACGAGCCGGUUGUUGAUGCUGGUCCGGAUGAGGUCCGGUGGCGUCUUGAGCCAUCUGACCAAUUCUCCACCAAGUCCCUCUAUUUGGCCAUUGCCCCCUCCUCCGCCUCCCCCCUCCCGGCAGUGUGGUCCAUUCGCCUGCCUCUGAAAAUCCGGAUCUUCAUGUGGCUAUGGAUCCGUGGUCGGCUUCCGUCUGGGGUGGAGGUCCGCAAGCGCAAUGGUCCUGGCUCCGGCCUUUGCCCGCUCUGUGGUACCCCCGAAGAUUCGAACCACAUCUUCUUCUCCUGCAUGUCCGCUCAAUUCGUUUGGAGCUGCUUUAGAGAGGUUGUGGGAGGUGGUUGGUGCCACACCAACUUCCCCGACCUCUUCGCUGAACUCCAGACCUCCCCCCUACCCUCUCGCCACAUUAGGUGGCUUGAGAUUGGGGCACUCGUGUGGACCCUCUAG